GGACUACACGGGUAUCUAAUCCCGUUCGCUCCCCUGGCUUUCGUGUCUCAGCGUCAGCACACCCCCAGCUGCCUGUUUUCACCGUUGGCGUUCCAAAUGAUAUCUACGCAUUUCACCGCUCCACCAUUUGUUCCGGCAGCCCCUAGGUGGCUCAAGGCCCCCAGUAUGCCGAGCAGUUCCACGGGUGAGCCGUGGGAUUUCACAAGGCACUUAGGGGCCCGCCUACACACGCUUUAAGCCCAGUGAUUCCGCCUAACGCUCGAGGCCUCUGUAUUACCGCGGCGGCUGGCAC
Molecule: ribosomal RNA, 292 nt
Filed under: uncultured bacterium
Lineage: Bacteria
Description: partial 16S ribosomal RNA
Source: RNAcentral